UCCCUGGUAGCUCAGAAGUUAAAGCGUCUGCCUCCAAUGCAGGAGACCCAGGUUCCAUCCCUGGGUUGGGAA
Molecule: transfer RNA, 72 nt
Filed under: Bos taurus (domestic cattle)
Lineage: Eukaryota; Metazoa; Chordata; Mammalia; Artiodactyla; Bovidae
Also listed under: 1 other name
Rfam family: tRNA
About the family: Transfer RNA (tRNA) molecules are approximately 80 nucleotides in length. Their secondary structure includes four short double-helical elements and three loops (D, anti-codon, and T loops).
Source: Rfam by way of RNAcentral